AAGUCGUAACAAGGUUUCCGUAGGUGAACCUGCGGAAGGAUCAUUAAAGGUUCUCGACGCUCUGCGUUGAAAAUUGUGCUGCAGCUGUGCGCCUUCGGGCUGCACGCUGCGGAACGUCUCUCUCCUUGUGCACACAUUCGGUUGGGGCACUUGCCUCUUCCGCCUUUUUACAUUCAAUUCCAGUCUCGUAUGUUCGAAUAUCAUAACAGUAACAACUUUCAACAACGGAUCUCUUGGCUCUC
This 242-nucleotide unclassified non-coding RNA is filed under the name fungal sp. RNAcentral describes it as "partial internal transcribed spacer region". The stretch from base 1 to 46 matches the Rfam family "Eukaryotic small subunit ribosomal RNA", at positions 1786 to 1831 of the family's 1831-position model. Lineage: Eukaryota; Fungi. The record is from RNAcentral.